This 434-nucleotide ribosomal RNA is filed under the name uncultured Lachnospiraceae bacterium. RNAcentral's name for it is "partial 16S ribosomal RNA". It matches the Rfam family "Bacterial small subunit ribosomal RNA", at positions 341 to 792 of the family's 1533-position model. The record is from RNAcentral. Lineage: Bacteria; Bacillati; Bacillota; Clostridia; Lachnospirales; Lachnospiraceae.
ACGGAAGGCAGCAGUGGGGAAUAUUGCACAAUGGGGGAAACCCUGAUGCAGCGACGCCGCGUGAGCGAAGAAGUAUUUCGGUAUGUAAAGCUCUAUCAGCAAGGAAGAAAAUGACGGUACUUGACUAAGAAGCUCCGGCUAAAUACGUGCCAGCAGCCGCGGUAAUACGUAUGGAGCAAGCGUUAUCCGGAUUUACUGGGUGUAAAGGGAGCGUAGACGGCAAAGCAAGUCUGAAGUGAAAUCCCGGGGCUCAACCCCGGAACUGCUUUGGAAACUGUUUAGCUAGAGUGCAGGAGAGGUAAGCGGAAUUCCUAGUGUAGCGGUGAAAUGCGUAGAUAUUAGGAGGAACACCAGUGGCGAAGGCGGCUUACUGGACUGUAACUGACGUUGAGGCUCGAAAGCGUGGGGAGCAAACAGGAUUAGAUACCCUGGUA